This 374-nucleotide ribosomal RNA is filed under the name uncultured archaeon. RNAcentral's name for it is "bacterial SSU rRNA". It matches the Rfam family "Archaeal small subunit ribosomal RNA", at positions 350 to 727 of the family's 1478-position model. The record is from RNAcentral.
CCACAAUGCGCGAAAGCGUGAUGGGGGAAUCCCGCGUGCUUACAUUUUAUGUAAGCUUUUGUCAAGAGUAAAUAUCUUGGAGAAUAAGUGGUGGGAAAGACCGGUGCCAGCAGCCGCGGUAACCCCGGCGCCACAAGUGGCAAUCUUAUAUUGGGCCUAAAGCAUUCGUAGCAGGUUUGAAAAAUCCUUUGUGAAAUUGUUGAACUCAAUACAACAGCGUGCAGGGGACACUUUCAGACUAGAGACUGGGAGGAGUUGGGGGUAUGCCUUGGGGAACGGUUAAAUGUGAUAAUCCAAGGUAGACCACCUGUGGCGAAGGCGCCCAACUAGAACAGUUCUGACUGUGAGGGAUGAAAGCUAGGGGAGCGAGCCGG